GGAGGGUAGUUUUUAGUACGUAAGCGCCAUCAAUAGCGAAUCGUGCAUGCUUGUACUAAGAACCAGCAGUAUCUUUUGAAGAUUUUCUACCUCC
Non-coding RNA from Glossina austeni, 94 nucleotides. Lineage: Eukaryota; Metazoa; Arthropoda; Insecta; Diptera; Glossinidae. The record is from Rfam.